GAACGCUUCAGCACUUUCCUAAUUUCUCACAAAAGCGGUGAAUGAUUCACCAUCUUUCACUUAUUUACUAUUUCUAUAAUCCUAACAACCACAUAAAUACUUCAACAAAUCACAUAUAAUCUUAACAACCUUAAAAUUCUAAUAAUCUAUCCAUACAAUCCUAACAAUCAAAAAUAUUCUAAUAAUCUAUCCAUACAAUCCUAAUAAUCAAACAUCACAUAUAAUCUUAACAACUUGAAAAACCUAAUAAUCUAUCUAUACAAUCCUAACAAUCAAAAAAAUCCUAAUAAUCUAUCCAUACAAUCCUAACAAUCAAACAAAAAUUCUAAUACUCCACACACAAUCCUAACAACCUCACUUUUUUAUUUCUGUAUAAUCUACGUACAAUUUUAACAAACUCUUUUUUUUUUCCCAAAAAAUUAUGAAAACAACGGUGAAUCGUUCACAGUUUUAAU
RNAcentral lists this long non-coding RNA (455 nucleotides) under Ananas comosus (pineapple). RNAcentral describes it as "long non-coding RNA (ACOM_LNC003281)". The record is from RNAcentral. Lineage: Eukaryota; Viridiplantae; Streptophyta; Magnoliopsida; Poales; Bromeliaceae.